UCAUGACAUUGUAGGUGCUUGCG
This 23-nucleotide small nuclear RNA is filed under the name Arabidopsis thaliana (thale cress). Its description in RNAcentral is "snRNA_01435". The record is from RNAcentral. Lineage: Eukaryota; Viridiplantae; Streptophyta; Magnoliopsida; Brassicales; Brassicaceae.